Molecule: ribosomal RNA, 484 nt
Filed under: uncultured bacterium
Lineage: Bacteria
Description: partial 16S ribosomal RNA
Rfam family: Bacterial small subunit ribosomal RNA
Source: RNAcentral
AUUGAACGCUGGCGGCAGGCCUAACACAUGCAAGUCGAGCGGAUGAAGGGAGCUUGCUCCUGGAUUCAGCGGCGGACGGGUGAGUAAUGCCUAGGAAUCUGCCUGGUAGUGGGGGAUAACGUCCGGAAACGGGCGCUAAUACCGCAUACGUCCUGAGGGAGAAAGGGGGGGAUCUUCGGACGUUACGCUAUCAGAUGAGCCUAGGGCGUAUUAGCUAGUUGGUGGGGUAAAGGCCUACCAAGGCGACGCUGCGUAACUAGUCUGAGAGGCUGAUUAGUUACCCUGGAACGGAGACACGUUCCUGACUGCUACGGGAGGCAGCAGUGGGGAAUGUUCGACAAUUGGCGAAAGCCUGAUCCAGCCCUGCCGCCUGUGUUAAGAAGGUCUUCGGAUUUUAAAGCUCUUUUCGUUGGGAGGAAGGGUAGUAUGUUAAUACCUUGCUGUUUUGACGUUACCAACAGAAUAAGCUCCGGCUAACUUCGUG